This 466-nucleotide ribosomal RNA is filed under the name uncultured bacterium. RNAcentral's name for it is "partial 16S ribosomal RNA". It matches the Rfam family "Bacterial small subunit ribosomal RNA", at positions 30 to 507 of the family's 1533-position model. The record is from RNAcentral.
CGAACGCUGGCGGCGUGCUUACCACAUGCAAGUCGAACGGAAAGGCCCUGCUUUUGUGGGGUGCUCGAGUGGCGAACGGGUGAGUAACACGUGAGUAACCUGCCCUUCACUUUGGGAUAACUUCAGAAAACUGGGGCUAAUACCGGAUAGGAGCUCCUGCUGCAUGGUGGGGGUUGGAAAGUUUCGGCGGUUGGGGAUGGACUCGCGGCUUAUCAGCUUGUUGGUGGGGUAGUGGCUUACCAAGGCUUUGACGGGUAGCCGGCCUGAGAGGGUGACCGGCCACAUUGGGACUGAGAUACGGCCCAGACUCUUACGGGAGGCAGCAGUGGGGAAUAUUGCACAAUGGGCGGAAGCCUGAUGCAGCAACGCCGCGUGCGGGAUGACGGCCUUCGGGUUGUAAACCGCUUUCGCCUGUGACGAAGCGUGAGUGACGGUAAUGGGUAAAGAAGCACCGGCUAACUACAUG